UCUGUAUCGAUGGCAACAUUUCAAGCUAGCUGUGGAGUGAUCUUACGCCACGUUCUUAACUCUUGUUACAUAUGCCAUGCUUAUGGUGCCAUCUAAACUAAAAUCUUGUCUUCCAGGCGUUCAUCACCACAGAGGUGUUGAAACUGUAUAGCCUGAAGAAAGACCUCAACCAGAAAACAGAUUGGCAGAAGAUGCUGAAAUUCGGAAGGAAAAAACGGGAUCGAGUAGAUCAUAUUCUGGUCCAGGAGCUUCAUGAGGAAGAGUCUCUGUGGGUGAACUAUGAUGAGGAUGAGCUCUAUGUCAAGAUGCAGUUGGCUGACGGUAUCUUUGAUUCGUUGAUAAAAGACACAGCAGAAGUUCUCACACAAAUUCAGGAGAAUAGAUUGAAAAGAGCCCUUUCCUGAGCUUUUAAGCCCCCAUUGUAAACCCAUCUUCCACCAGACAGUCCCUCCCACAGCCAACGUGCCAAUGAUCUCCAGAUGCCUUCAGUUCAGUCAAACUGGUACCCCUCUGCAACACAGCUUUGGACUAGCUAAUUGUGGAUCUACCACAUGUCUUACACCAAACAUCUUUGAUCCAGCCUUCAACCAACAUGUAAAGCCUCCCAUGCUGGCUGCCCUGUUCAUGUCCAGUCAAAGAUGGAGUGGAUCUUGUUUCCCAUUAAAUUCAUCAAUGCUGCUAAAUUGACUGUUGAACUCAAGACAGUAUUGAGGAGCAGUCUGGGUCAUCUAAUAAUAGGUGAUGAUGAGAAGAUUUCUAUGUCAAGUGUGGAAGUCAUUGGGGUUAUCAGGUUGUAUAAAAAUGAAAUAUUUUGCCUUUUGUAUUGUGCUAUUUAUUGUAUGGAAAAUUUGCUGUUAACAGGUUUUCGAAACAAAUUACUUCAGCAUUUUGUAAAAGAAUGAUGAAAUAACAAAGCACAAAAAGAAAUGUGAAUGUAGAAAUGGCAAUACAUUGUAUAGGGAGUGAGUGAAAAAUAAAUUAAAAUCUACCUUUUGUAUUUAAUAUUUAAGAAUCCAAAUAUUAGUAAUUGAUGGGUUUAAACACUGUCCUUUUUCUAACAUGUUUUUGCCUCGUAACUAGUGUAUUGGCAAGGAGAACAGAUGCCUAGAGGUUCUACCUGGUUAGAUUGGAAACCAGCCUGUCACGCUGGAUUCAAGCCUUAAAAUUGGCCUUUUACUUGAUUCAGUUAGUGUCUCCUUUUUUUGUUCUGUAUGAUUAUGAAUUGCCACACUCAAAAGCAACAACACAAUUUACAGGCCUUAGUUGAUGUCUCUACUCUUAUGUACCUCCUUUAUUUGAAUGAUAUUUAUAUAUACAGUACAUACCUUUUCAUAAAUACCUAAAGGAAAAGUAUUUUUCCAACUGGGUUAAACUUCAGCCUCUGCCUUGUUCAGUGUUUACCUAAGCAUAGUUCUAACCAGAGAACACCCUUUGAAAUCCCCCAUUUGCCUUUUGCUCACAGACUCGGUAUUGCAUUUCUAAUGGUUCUAAGGUAGCAUGACUCAAAUGCCAUUUAUGGUAGGUAAAUGUAUUAUGCCUUUGGGUGUCACUGAUGAUGCACUUCUGACUUACUGCAAUGGAACCUAAUGUUCUCUCCAUUCGUCACGUACACAAUGGCUUUAGCAGCAUGGUAGCAAGUGUGAGUCAUUGAUUAAUUUGUGUGGGUCCUAGCAUUCAACAACAAUGUUCAAGGGCUUAUUCUGUCCUCUCAUCAGUAGAUACUUUAGUCCAAGAAUGCUGUGAUGUACAAGUUAAUUUACCAUGCACGGUGAUGCUUGUCAAUUGUCAUUUUGGUUAGACAAGUGACCUUAAUGGUGGGAAUGAAAGUAGUUUCCAUGCCAAUUUGCAUUUUUACAACCACUGUUAUUUUACCAGAAGGAGUAGAUUAACUGUCUGUUGUGAAUUUGCAUUUUACCACUGCUGUUAUUUUACCAGGAGUAGAUAAACUGUUAACUGUCUAUUGUGAGACGUUGAACUGUACAUUUCCCUUUAAUACCCAUUUCUCCAUGAUAUGCCCCAUGUUGUGUGGUAUGAGAAAAUAGUGAUGUGAUUUAAUACCUAGUAAAUUAAUUUCCACAGGGCUGAAUUGCAACCCCCCCGUAGAAUGGUGAGAAUAAUCUGAAUUGAUUGUAGCUGUGGAUAAAUAUGAAUUGAUUGUAGCUGGUGGAUGUAAUGUCCCAUUUAUAACUAUGCAGUAUUUGUUGGUUGGGUACAUUGUUUUAUGUUUGGAUCGUACAAGCCAGCUUUGUAGUCUUGUGGAAAAACAUUGAAUUGCAAUGUAACCAAUACGCCUCCAGACAGUUUUCAAACUGCUGUCUGUAGUAGGUUUGUGUUGGCCCUUGCUGUGAAGAUGGGUAUUCUAACUCCAAAGCAAAAAUGUAUAUUAGGCUAAAAUGGUUUGAUAAUGAAAUUGAGUACACUAGAGAUCUUUUUGCAUCUUUUAAAGUGUAUGAAUAUUUAGACUGUACUACUGUCAGAGACGCAGCUACACUAGACUUGUGAAUUGUUUUAUGGGGUGUAAAUAUACUAGAACAGUUCCCUAUUGGAUCUGACUCACUAUUGAACCUGGAAGAUAUUUGUAAAAUAAACAUUGUUCACAUUGCAGAUAUGUAUAUAGUAUACAUAUAUUUUAACUAAAUUGAACGUUGAAGUUGUAAAUAAAGCUUUAUUUCCAAAUAUUAAAUGUCUGCUAUAACCUGCAAAAAUCAUCCCUAGCACAGUGCCUCAAGUACGUUUGGCCAAAUGUGGUUUACCUUUUCCUUUUUUUUGCCUUAUUAUUUUUCCCAAUUUUAGUGAUUGUCAUAAGUGUAUUAUUAUAAACAAAGCUGCAGGACUUCCUCACUGUGUCCUGUUGCACCCUGAGUUAUACCCCACACAUUAUCACAAUGCUGACUCAUCACCUCAGUCUUUGAUUGUCAUUAGCUUGUGGAAGUAGAAUAUGACAAGCAUUAAAGUACAGUAAAGCUCAUACAUUGAAAAUGUAACCCAUA
Long non-coding RNA from Oncorhynchus tshawytscha (Chinook salmon), 2990 nucleotides. NCBI's taxonomy places the organism in Eukaryota, Metazoa, Chordata, Actinopteri, Salmoniformes, Salmonidae. The record is from Ensembl.